GGGGAAUAUUGCACAAUGGGCGAAAGCCUGAUGCAGCAACGCCGCGUGAGUGAUGACGGUCUUCGGAUUGUAAAGCUCUGUCUUCAGGGACGAUAAUGACGGUACCUGAGGAGGAAGCCACGGCUAACUACGUGCCAGCAGCCGCGGUAAUACGUAGGUGGCAAGCGUUGUCCGGAUUUACUGGGCGUAAAGGGAGCGUAGGUGGAUAUUUAAGUGGGAUGUGAAAUACUCGGGCUUAACCUGGGUGCUGCAUUCCAAACUGGAUAUCUAGAGUGCAGGAGAGGAAAGUAGAAUUCCUAGUGUAGCGGUGAAAUGCGUAGAGAUUAGGAAGAAUACCAGUGGCGAAGGCGACUUUCUGGACUGUAACUGACGCUGAGGCAUGAAAGCGUGGGGAGCAAAC
This 400-nucleotide ribosomal RNA is filed under the name uncultured bacterium. RNAcentral describes it as "bacterial SSU rRNA". It matches the Rfam family "Bacterial small subunit ribosomal RNA", at positions 356 to 773 of the family's 1533-position model. The record is from RNAcentral.